RNAcentral lists this signal recognition particle RNA (148 nucleotides) under Homo sapiens (human). Its description in RNAcentral is "Metazoan signal recognition particle RNA". It matches the Rfam family "Metazoan signal recognition particle RNA". Rfam says of the family: The signal recognition particle (SRP) is a universally conserved ribonucleoprotein. Lineage: Eukaryota; Metazoa; Chordata; Mammalia; Primates; Hominidae. The record is from Rfam by way of RNAcentral.
GCUGGGUGCUGUGGCGAGCGCCUGUAGUCCCAGCUACUAGGGAGGCUGAGGCAGGAGAAUCACUUGAACCUGGGAGGCUGAGGCUGCAGUGAGCUGAGAUCACACUAUUGCACUCCAGCCUGGGCUACAGAGUGAGACCCUGUCUCCA